Molecule: long non-coding RNA, 566 nt
Filed under: Brassica rapa (field mustard)
Lineage: Eukaryota; Viridiplantae; Streptophyta; Magnoliopsida; Brassicales; Brassicaceae
Description: long non-coding RNA (BRAP_LNC003867)
Source: RNAcentral
GGGUUCCCACUGCCAUCCCGGUUAGGUGGAUAGUUGUUUUGGUACUGUGGCUGCUGCAUUCCACCACCCUGCUGCUGCUGGUAGUUAUUGUUGUUACCUGACCAUCCUGCAUUUGGUGGACCUCCUCCUCCCAUGUUGUUCUGCGGUGGUGGUCCUCCAUAGUUCGGUGGAGGCGCUCCUCCGUAGUUUGGUGGUGGUGCUCCUCCCAUGUUGUUUUGUGGUGGCGUUCCUCCGUAGUUUGGUGGUGGUGGUCCUCCAUAGUUCGGUGGUGGUGGUGGUGCCCCUCCGUAGUUUGCUGGAGGCCUCUGUCCUCCCAUAUUGUUAUGUGGCGGUGGUGGUCCUCCAUAGUUUGGUGGAGGCCUUUGUCCAUAAUUCUGCCCCAUGGGAGGUGGAGGGGGUGCAGAGCCACCCAUGUGAGGUGGAGGAGGGCCACCCAUGGGAGGACGUUGAGGAGGAGGGCCUCCUGCCAUGUUCUCUCUUCUCCUCUCAAAGUUUCUGCUUCUAUCAAAGUUUUUAGGACGGUCAUUGCGCCUGUUUCUUUCAUUGGCUCUAGCGUUGUUCCUUAU